ACUCAAAUGAAUAGACGGGGACUUGCACAAGCAGUGGAUUAUGUGGCUUAAUUCGAUGAUAAACGAAGAACCUUACCCGGGUUUGAAACCUACGUGAAAGCUUUAGGAAACUUUAGCCCUCGCAAGACUAGUAGGCAGGUGAUGCAUGGCCGUCGUCAGUUCGUGGUUUGAAUUGUUCCCUUAAGUGGGGUAACGAACGCAACCCUUAUUGCCUGUUACAAGUGUCAGGCGAGACUGCCCAGAUUUUUGAAUGCAAGCGGCAAUCUAUUUAUUUAGAUUUUUGCUUGUUAGCAAAAAUCUGGGAGGAAGGCGAGGAUGACGCCAGGUCAGCAUGUCCCUCUGACAUCCGGGGCUGCACACAUAAUACAAUGGGCGUUACAACGUGACGCGAUGCCGUAAGGCGGAGCCAACCAUAAUAAAAGCGCCCUAAGUUCGGAUUGAGGUCUGCAACUCGACCUCAUGAAGUUGGAAUUGCUAGUAAUCGCGGGUCAGCCAUACCGCGGUGAAUACGUUCUCAAGUCUUGUACACACCGCCCGU
This 538-nucleotide ribosomal RNA is filed under the name uncultured bacterium. Its description in RNAcentral is "partial 16S ribosomal RNA". It matches the Rfam family "Bacterial small subunit ribosomal RNA", at positions 899 to 1397 of the family's 1533-position model. The record is from RNAcentral.